AUUGAACGCUGGCGGCAUGCCUAACACAUGCAAGUCGAACGGAAACGAUGGGAGCUUGCUCCCAGGCGUCGAGUGGCGGACGGGUGAGUAAUACUUAGGAAUCUGCCCAGUAGUGGGGGACAACAUUCGGAAACGGAUGCUAAUACCGCAUACGCACUACGGUGGAAAGUGGGGGACCUUCGGGCCUCACGCUAUUGGAUGAGCCUAAGUCGGAUUAGCUUGUUGGUGAGGUAAUAGCUCACCAAGGCGACGAUCCGUAGCUGGUCUGAGAGGACGAUCAGCCACACUGGGACUGAGACACGGCCCAGACUCCUACGGGAGGCAGCAGUGGGGAAUAUUGGACAAUGGGCGCAAGCCUGAUCCAGCAAUGCCGCGUGUGUGAGGAAGGCCUGCGGGUUGUAAAGCACUUUCAGUAGAGAAGAAAAGCCUAGGGUUAAUACCCCUGAGUCUUGACGUAACCUACAGAAGAAGCACCGGCUAACUCCGUG
This 488-nucleotide ribosomal RNA is filed under the name uncultured bacterium. RNAcentral's name for it is "bacterial SSU rRNA". It matches the Rfam family "Bacterial small subunit ribosomal RNA", at positions 30 to 507 of the family's 1533-position model. The record is from RNAcentral.